RNAcentral lists this ribosomal RNA (230 nucleotides) under uncultured bacterium. RNAcentral describes it as "partial 16S ribosomal RNA". It matches the Rfam family "Bacterial small subunit ribosomal RNA", at positions 562 to 791 of the family's 1533-position model. The record is from RNAcentral.
AAAGGGUGCGUAGGCGGCCUGUUAAGUCAGGGGUGAAAGACGGUAGCUCAACUAUCGCAGUGCCCUUGAUACUGAUGGGCUUGAAUGGACUAGAGGUAGGCGGAAUGAGACAAGUAGCGGUGAAAUGCAUAGAUAUGUCUCAGAACACCGAUUGCGAAGGCAGCUUACUAUGGUCCUAUUGACGCUGAGGCACGAAAGCGUGGGGAUCAAACAGGAUUAGAUACCCCGGU